AGGGAGAAUGCUUUCAGUUGCUUGGCUGCGGGCGCCCGGGUGGGCCAGAGGGGUCGCUGGAGAACGACGAGUCCCCGAACACUAUACCGAUCUACACCCACUAUCUUUCGGUAUCCUACGAUGCCUAACAACAUCAGGCAAAGAGACUGCCGAUGGAAACGAGCCUCUUAGCUAACUCAGUAUAUCACAUCGGUUAUCCUGGAAGCCACAGGCAAAACACGCUGUGACCUGUAUGUCAACAUGGACAUCUCAAGAUGGAUCUCUAUUUAUUAAUCCAAAUCAACUUGUCACAGAAAAGCAACACUGCUCUGCUCACAAGAAAACAUGGCAAAAAAAGAAUA
Lampris incognitus (smalleye Pacific opah) is the source of this 341-nucleotide long non-coding RNA. RefSeq lists it as uncharacterized. The record is from RefSeq and is a predicted model, not a curated record. NCBI's taxonomy places the organism in Eukaryota, Metazoa, Chordata, Actinopteri, Lampriformes, Lampridae. The transcript has 3 exons.